CCAAUGUGGAUAACCAUUUGAGGUUGCUCUCUAAUGGCUCUGUCCAUGUGGCUUAUGGGAGCAUAGCAUUGAAUGCAGUGAUGUACAUUCCUGUUCCACACCGUUGGAGAGCAAGUUUGCCUUGCACUUUCUGGUUAGCGAGGACAGCAUCCUGUAUAUUCCUAAAACUCCUCAGAGUCUUUGGGCAGUUACUGAGGAGACAAACCAUGCAGGAUACAGAC
Molecule: small nucleolar RNA, 221 nt
Organism: Protopterus annectens (West African lungfish)
Lineage: Eukaryota; Metazoa; Chordata; Ceratodontiformes; Protopteridae
Product: small nucleolar RNA SNORA73 family
Exons: 1
Source: RefSeq, a predicted model, not a curated record